Molecule: small nucleolar RNA, 132 nt
Organism: Mus spicilegus (steppe mouse)
Lineage: Eukaryota; Metazoa; Chordata; Mammalia; Rodentia; Muridae
Source: Ensembl
UCUGGCACUUAGAGGCACUGCACAUGUAGAUGCUAUGUCACAUGUGCAUCAGUAGGUGACAGGCAGAGGAGAGCAGCUAUGUCUAUGCUCAGUGUCCUAACCUGUUAACAUCUGAGUAACUAGUUUAACAUU